This 468-nucleotide ribosomal RNA is filed under the name uncultured bacterium. Its description in RNAcentral is "partial 16S ribosomal RNA". It matches the Rfam family "Bacterial small subunit ribosomal RNA", at positions 28 to 507 of the family's 1533-position model. The record is from RNAcentral.
GACGAACGCUGGCGGCGUGCUUAACACAUGCAAGUCGAACGGACAGGCCCUGCUUUUGUGGGUUGCUCGAUUGGCGAACGGGUGAGUAACACGUGAGUAACCUGCCCUUGUCUUUGGGAUAACUUCAGGAAACUGGGGCUAAUACCGGAUAGGAUCUCCUGCUGCAUGGUGUGGGUUGGAAAGUUUCGGCUGUUGUGGAUGGACUCGCGGCUUAUCCGCUUGUUGGUGGGGUAGUGGAUGACCAAGGCUUUGACGGGUAGCCGGCCUGAGAGGGUGACCGGCCACAUGGGGACUGCGAUACGGCCCAGAAGCCAACGGGAGGCAACAGGGGGAAAUAUUGCACAGUGAGCGGAAGCCAGAUGCAGCGACGCCGCGUGCGGAAUGACGGCCUACGAGUGGUAAACCGCUGUCGACUGAGACGAAGCGGUAGUGACGGUAAUGGAUAAGGAAGCACCGGCUAACUACGUG